GACGAACGCUGGCGGCGCGCCUAACACAUGCAAGUCGAACGAGAGAGAGGGAGCUUGCUUCCUCAAUCGAGUGGCGAACGGGUGAGUAACGCGUGAGGAACCUGCCUCAAAGAGGGGGACAACAGUUGGAAACGACUGCUAAUACCGCAUAAGCCCACGGCUCGGCAUCGAGCAGAGGGAAAAGGAGCAAUCCGCUUUGAGAUGGCCUCGCGUCCGAUUAGCUAGUUGGUGAGGUAAUGGCCCACCAAGGCAACGAUCGGUAGCCGGACUGAGAGGUUGAACGGCCACAUUGGGACUGAGACACGGCCCAGACUCCUACGGGAGGCAGCAGUGGGGAAUAUUGCACAAUGGGGGAAACCCUGAUGCAGCGACGCCGCGUGGAGGAAGAAGGUCUUCGGAUUGUAAACUCCUGUUGUUGAGGAAGAUAAUGACGGUAC
This 437-nucleotide ribosomal RNA is filed under the name uncultured bacterium. Its description in RNAcentral is "bacterial SSU rRNA". It matches the Rfam family "Bacterial small subunit ribosomal RNA", at positions 28 to 478 of the family's 1533-position model. The record is from RNAcentral.